Molecule: ribosomal RNA, 450 nt
Filed under: uncultured bacterium
Lineage: Bacteria
Description: bacterial SSU rRNA
Rfam family: Bacterial small subunit ribosomal RNA
Source: RNAcentral
GUGAGGAAUAUUGGGCAAUGGGCGAAAGCCUGACCCAGCCACGCCGCGUGAGUGAUGAAGGCCUUCGGGUUGUAAAGCUCUGUGGGGAGGGAAGAAAAAGCGCAGGAGUAACUGCCUGUGUGUUGACGGUACCUCCUUAGCAAGCACCGGCUAACUCUGUGCCAGCAGCCGCGGUAAUACAGAAGGUGCAAACGUUGCUCGGAAUUACUGGGCGUAAAGCGCGUGUAGGCUGACAUGCAAGUCGGGUGUGAAAUCCCAGGGCUCAACCUUGGAACUGCACUCGAAACUGCACGUCUUGAGUACUGGAGAGGGAAGCGGAAUUCCGGGUGUAGAGGUGAAAUUCGUAGAUAUCCGGAGGAACACCAGUGGCGAAGGCGGCUUCCUGGACAGUAACUGACGCUGAGACGCGAAAGCGUGGGGAGCAAACAGGAUUAGAAACCCGAGUAGUCC